AGAGAAAGAGAGCGUGUAUGUUUGAGAAAGAGGGAUUAAAGUGUAAAAAGGUCUGUCUAGGCAAGUUUAAUCAUCGAACCUUAAGUUCAACCAUUGAAGUUGAUUUGGGAUAGGAUAUAUAAAUCGAUGGUUUUGGUGUCUCACCAACCCCUUCACUCAAUUUCUCCUCUUCCUUUCCCCUUUCUUCACCUCCCUUUGGUUCCUCUAUUUCCUAGACCUAAAACACACUGCCCUAGUCUCUACAUGAAGGAGAAUUACCUUAAACCUCUAUAAAAGAAAGAAAGUACCCUUUCCUCUCCUUCAAAUGAGUUGAAGAAGAAGAGGAGGAAACUCCCUUGGAAGCAAUAACAAAAGAGGUAAAUUUCCUUCUCCUUCUUCUUAGUUUGAUUAAAGAUCCUAAGGUAGUAUUUUGCAAAAGAAAUGAUUUAGAUUAUUUUUAAGGUUGUUCUAGGGUUUGGUGUAAAAUAAUGAGAUUUUAAGUUAAAAUGAAGAGGUUUAAGUAAUUACAUUGUAUUUAUAGUUAUUUUAAGUUUUAAAAUGACAUAAUGGACUUAGAAGAGAGUUUAGGACUUAGUAUUGGGAUUUGAGGGUUAAAACCCGAUCUUUUUGCACUAUGGAUGAAUUUUGGGUAAGCUCAGGUUCUGCCGUUGAACCAUAGAUGUUUAGUUGAUGACUCAUGUGAACAGUCACAUAAGCAGUGCAUCGUAGCCUUCGGUCACCGAAGUUUAAGACUUCAGUUGCGGAACCUUCUAU
RNAcentral lists this unclassified non-coding RNA (753 nucleotides) under Hevea brasiliensis (rubber tree). The record is from RNAcentral. Lineage: Eukaryota; Viridiplantae; Streptophyta; Magnoliopsida; Malpighiales; Euphorbiaceae.